AUGAACGCUUUCUGCGUGCCUCAUACAUGCAAGUCGAACGCUGGAGAUCUAGCUUGCUAGAUCGAAGGAGUGGCGAACGGGUGAGUAAUACAUAAGCAACCUACCCACGAAGACUGGGAUAAUCUCUGGAAACGGGGACUAAUACCGGAUAGGUAAUCGGAAGGCAUCUUCUGGUUAUUAAAGGUUAAAAACACUGGUGGAUGGGCUUAUGGCGCAUUAGUUAGUUGGUGAGGUAACGGCCCACCAAGACGAUGAUGUGUAGCCGGCCUGAGAGGGUGAACGGCCCCAUUUGGACUGCGACACCGCCCCCACUCCUACGGGAGGCAGCAGUAGGGAAUUUUCAGCAAUGGGGGCAACCCUGACCGAGCAACGCCGCGUGAGUGAAGACCGCCUUCGGGUUGUAAAGCUCUGUUGUAAGGGAAGAACGGUAGAUAGAGAAUAUCUAAGUGACGGUACCUUACCAGAAAGCCACGGCUAACUACGUG
RNAcentral lists this ribosomal RNA (485 nucleotides) under uncultured bacterium. RNAcentral's name for it is "partial 16S ribosomal RNA". It matches the Rfam family "Bacterial small subunit ribosomal RNA", at positions 29 to 507 of the family's 1533-position model. The record is from RNAcentral.